CGCUGGCGGCAGGCCUAACACAUGCAAGUCGAGCGGUAGAGAGAAGCUUGCUUCUCUUGAGAGCGGCGGACGGGUGAGUAAUGCCUAGGAAUCUGCCUGGUAGUGGGGGAUAACGCUCGGAAACGGACGCUAAUACCGCAUACGUCCUACGGGAGAAAGCAGGGGACCUUCGGGCCUUGCGCUAUCAGAUGAGCCUAGGUCGGAUUAGCUAGUUGGUGAGGUAAUGGCUCACCAAGGCGACGAUCCGUAACUGGUCUGAGAGGAUGAUCAGUCACACUGGAACUGAGACACGGUCCAGACUCCUACGGGAGGCAGCAGUGGGGAAUAUUGGACAAUGGGCGAAAGCCUGAUCCAGCCAUGCCGCGUGUGUGAAGAAGGUCUUCGGAUUGUAAAGCACUUUAAGUUGGGAGGAAGGGCAUUAACCUAAUACGUUGGUGUCUUGACGUUACCGACAGAAUAAGCACCGGCUAACUCUGUGCCAGCAGCCGCGG
This 491-nucleotide ribosomal RNA is filed under the name Pseudomonas sp. Dc2. RNAcentral's name for it is "bacterial SSU rRNA". It matches the Rfam family "Bacterial small subunit ribosomal RNA", at positions 34 to 520 of the family's 1533-position model. The record is from RNAcentral. Lineage: Bacteria; Pseudomonadati; Pseudomonadota; Gammaproteobacteria; Pseudomonadales; Pseudomonadaceae.